UAUUUAUUAGAUAAAAAACCAAUGCCCUUCSGGGCUCCUUGGUGAAUCAUAAUAACUUAACGAAUCGCAUGGCCUUGCGCCGGCGAUGGUUCAUUCAAAUUUCUGCCCUAUCAACUUUCGAUGGUAGGAUAGUGGCCUACCAUGGUAUCAACGGGUAACGGGGAAUUAGGGUUCGACUCCGGAGAGGGAGCCUGAGAAACGGCUACCACAUCCAAGGAAGGCAGCAGGCGCGCAAAUUACCCAAUCCCGACACKWKGAGGUAGUGACAAUAAAUACUGAUACAGGGCUCUUUUGGGUCUUGUAGUUGGAAUGAGUACAAUUUAAAUCCCUUAACGAGGAACAAUUGGAGGGCAAGUCUGGUGCCAGCAGCCGCGGUAAUUCCAGCUCCAAUAGCGUAUAUUAAAGUUGUUGCAGUUAAAAAGCUCGUAGUUGAACCUUGGGCCUGGCUGGCUGGUCCGCCUCACCGCGUGUACUGGUCCGGCCGGGCCUUUCCUUCUGGGGAACCUCAUGCCCUUCACUGGGCGUGUUGGGGAACCAGGACUUUUACUUUGAAAAAAUUAGAGUGUUCAAAGCAGG
This 576-nucleotide ribosomal RNA is filed under the name uncultured eukaryote. RNAcentral's name for it is "SSU rRNA". It matches the Rfam family "Eukaryotic small subunit ribosomal RNA", at positions 205 to 795 of the family's 1831-position model. The record is from RNAcentral.